Non-coding RNA from Caretta caretta (loggerhead turtle), 2375 nucleotides. The record is from RefSeq and is a predicted model, not a curated record. NCBI's taxonomy places the organism in Eukaryota, Metazoa, Chordata, Testudines, Cheloniidae.
CAGCAAAUCACUGUGAAUGCAUAAAAUCCAAGAAACUCACCAGCCACUUGGUGACCAUUUGCCAAUAGAACAGGAGGCAGCAUUCAUGGAACACCCGAUAUUUCUAGCUACUGUUCCCUUGGGUGUAAACACCAUGUGACAGUGGGGUUGAGCUGACCGGAAAUCAUGUCAGUUUCCAAUUGCAGGCUGGCUCCUGCCAGCUGUGCUCUUCUCUGUCCAGACUUGCACCAUGGCACCAUGGCAUUACAAGAGUGGCCACUUCGAUGAGCACAGAGAAUGUCCUCAUUGGCCCCAGAAGCAGCUCUGGUGUAAAAUCACCACUCAGCAUCUGAGGGAGGAAAUGGUUUAACAAACCAAUGGGCUGACAGUUUCUGCUGCUCGCUCAGGGGAAGUGAAAUGAGGUAAAGCAAAAGUGCAUUGUUCUCCAGCAAGACAACGAUCCUACUGGGAGCCGUGGAACAAGUGUCUGCAGCCCAAACAUUGCAACACUUGGGCUAGUGCAUGAAAACCUCAAAGUGACCAGAAACAGACGUGGAAGUGAAGGUGUGUAUUUUCAUUACUUGCAUUUAUUCAGGGUGGAUAAAUGGCAUAAAUGAAGAAUGAAUUUGAAUUUUGAAAUUCUGUCUUCAUCAUUUAGGUUGUUAUUAGUGACAGAGGCAAGGACACUUGUUACAUAAGGUUUGUUUUCUGAACAAUGUAAAUGCUUGGGUGUAUGUCUGACGUGUAUGCACAUUUAAUGCAACUGUGUAUGCAAACUAGAAAAUUACAUAUGCAACUAGAUGAUUGAACGUGCAGUUGCAAUCGCAUAUAUGUAAAACCAUGAUCCGGGCAACAAUUUACAUUCUAUACUGUAAUAAAAUACAAGCUUGUGUACUAUCAGGGCUUAAAUUAAACUCAUCUUCUUUAAACCCCAGGCCCAUUGUUUUUAGCCUACUGUUUUUUCUUUUAAAUUAAACCCGAUGUGAGCCUUUUAGGAAAGCAUCAAACAUCGAAGGCAAAGCCCAGAUUACACAUUUAGUCAAUGUAACCUCAAUAAUAGACUAGUCAAGGUAUUAUAUUGAUAGCAUUGAAACCUUUUUAAAUUGGGGAUGUGAAAAAAUUUCUACACUAUAUUGCCUAUUUUAAAAAUUGUUUUAAAAUCUUGAAUGUUACCAUAAUAACCCAGCCUUAGAAAGCUUCCUUAUUCCUUUUAAACCCCUUUGAGAGUCCCCUAAAGAUAUCCGAAGAGAUUUUCUCCUUCCCCCUGCCCAGCAAUAGGGAGCAGCUGGGUCUAUUUAAAAUUGAUUUUGAUCUCUCCAAGCAGGAUUUGAUUUCUCCGCACACUGAGCUUUUGCCUGAAGAGAGUGCACAGUAGAGCAGAAAUUCUGAGAUGUCAGCUGGCGUGGCAAGAGUCGAAGAGAAAAUGAGCAGCUCACUCUGUGCCCACUGGCAUAAGCAUGAGACGGCGACACGGGCAAAGUGAUUGUCAAUGUGACAGUGGUUGGAGUUUGCUGGCCGUAUACAAUUAAAACAGAAUAAAACCCUCUUCCUGCUGAGCUCCAGAUCACAGAUGGUCCCAAUGGGGUGCAGCAGCAUAAGAAAUGCUCAUGCAAAAGCCUGAGGUCUGUCCAUGCACAGACUCUUUGGAAGGCAGAACGUGCCACUAAUGUGAGUUGAAAAGAGGGGACUUAUUGUUCAAAAGAAGCAUUCCACCCACCCCUUUCUAACACUGCUCGCAAUGGGCCUGGACCUGGGAAAAUAUGGGGAAACUGAAGCACAGAGUGAUUACAUGACUUGUCCAAGGUCACACACGAAGUCUGGAGUGACACCAGAUCCUCCAAGUCCCAGUUCAGUGCCUUACCUCCACUGUCACCUUCUCUCUUAUUCUAGGUGUUCAGCAUCUUGUAGAAUCAGACACAAACUUAACACCAGUAUUCUUAAAUAUCUGAAAAGUUGAAUAUUGAGCAACAAGUUUCAGGAGCAGUGGACUUUCAGAGAAGACUACAUUCUCCAAGCUGUGAUAGAAGAUGUGUGGGUGCGUGGAGGGAAUCCAAGUAAUAUUUGGAAAUAUUAAAAUACAGUGUAUAUUGUUUGGUAUUGCUUUAGAUGUCUGAGUUUUUUCAGGACAGGGAAUGUGAGGGAAGUCAGAAAUGAAAGGGGUGGGGUGUAGGAAUGAGAUACCAUUAAGAGUUCUAGCCAACCACAAAUUUGCUAUUCAGUUUACCAGCCUGUAGUUUAUUAUGUAUGGUAUGUGAAGGAACCUAUUUAGCCAAAAGGGAAAUGCCUUUUGUGUUAAGAGUGACCCUAAUCUAAUAUGGCCUUUUGACUUGACUCAAUUAAAUCCUUUCUGUUUCAAUUAAAUAAUCAGCCACAAUUUAAUAAAAUGAAUUUCCGUG